AUUGAACGCUGGCGGCAUGCCUUACACAUGCAGUCGAACGGCAGCACGGGUGCUUGCACCUGGUGGCGAGUGGCGAACGGGUGAGUAAUACAUCGGAACAUGUCCUGUAGUGGGGGAUAGCCCGGCGAAAGCCGGAUUAAUACCGCAUACGAUCUACGGAUGAAAGCGGGGGACCUUCGGGCCUCGCGCUAUAGGGUUGGCCGAUGGCUGAUUAGCUAGUUGGUGGGGUAAAGGCCUACCAAGGCGACGAUCAGUAGCUGGUCUGAGAGGACGACCAGCCACACUGGGACUGAGACACGGCCCAGACUCCUACGGGAGGCAGCAGUGGGGAAUUUUGGACAAUGGGCGAAAGCCUGAUCCAGCAAUGCCGCGUGUGUGAAGAAGGCCUUCGGGUUGUAAAGCACUUUUGUCCGGAAAGAAAUCCUUGGCCCUAAUACGGUCGGGGGAUGACGGUACCGGAAGAAUAAGCACCGGCUAACUACGUG
RNAcentral lists this ribosomal RNA (485 nucleotides) under uncultured bacterium. Its description in RNAcentral is "partial 16S ribosomal RNA". It matches the Rfam family "Bacterial small subunit ribosomal RNA", at positions 30 to 507 of the family's 1533-position model. The record is from RNAcentral.